RNAcentral lists this unclassified non-coding RNA (216 nucleotides) under uncultured fungus. RNAcentral's name for it is "sequence contains ITS1, 5.8S rRNA gene". Lineage: Eukaryota; Fungi. The record is from RNAcentral.
ACACAAACUGUGGUUGCGGAUGUGCACAUCGCCUCUUCACCGAGGGCUCACGAUUGCUGCUGCUGCUCCACACUUGGAUCCAAUCCAUUUACCCCUGUGAACUGUUAAAGUCUUUACAUAGUGUUAAUCACGCCUUGUAAUGCACUCUGACUGAAAUCUAUUCUUGACGCUGUAAGCCGCAAGGCUUUAACGCCGAUGGAAAAACAUAACCAAAGA